ACGGGAGGCAGCAGUGGGGAAUCUUAGACAAUGGGGGCAACCCUGAUCUAGCCAUGCCGCGUGAGUGAUGAAGGCCUUAGGGUCGUAAAGCUCUUUCGCCUGUGAUGAUAAUGACUGUAGCAGGUAAAGAAACCCCGGCUAACUCCGUGCCAGCAGCCGCGGUAAUACGGAGGGGGUUAGCGUUGUUCGGAAUUACUGGGCGUAAAGCGCACGUAGGCGGAUUAGAAAGUUGGGGGUGAAAUCCCGAGGCUCAACCCCGGAACUGCCUCCAAAACUGCUAGUCUAGAGUUCGAGAGAGGUGAGUGGAAUUCCGAGUGUAGAGGUGAAAUUCGUAGAUAUUCGGAGGAACACCAGUGGCGAAGGCGGCUCACUGGCUCGAUACUGACGCUGAGGUGCGAAAGUGUGGGGAGCAAACAGGAUUAGAUACCCUGGUAGUCCACACCGUAAACGAUGAAUGCCAGUCGUCGGAUAGUAUACUAUUCGGUGACACACCUAACGGAUUAAGCAUUCCGCCUGGGGAGUACGGUCGCAAGAUUAAAACUCAAAGGAAUUGACGGGG
RNAcentral lists this ribosomal RNA (559 nucleotides) under uncultured bacterium. RNAcentral describes it as "bacterial SSU rRNA". It matches the Rfam family "Bacterial small subunit ribosomal RNA", at positions 341 to 918 of the family's 1533-position model. The record is from RNAcentral.